Molecule: ribosomal RNA, 1414 nt
Filed under: uncultured bacterium
Lineage: Bacteria
Description: bacterial SSU rRNA
Rfam family: Bacterial small subunit ribosomal RNA
Source: RNAcentral
AGAGUUUGAUCCUGGCUCAGGAUGAACGCCGUCGGCGUGCCUAACACAUGCAAGCCGAACGAAGCGCAUGCCUGGAACCCUCCGGGGGGAAGGGCAUAUGACUGAGUGGCGGACGGGUGAGUAACGCGUGGGCAACCUGCCCCGCACUGGGGGACAACAGCCGGAAACGGCUGCUAAUACCGCAUAUGCGCACAGCUUUGCAUGAAGCAGUGUGGAAAACUCCGGUGGUGCGGGAUGGGCCCGCGUCUGAUUAGCUGGUUGGCGGGGCAACGGCCCACCAAGGCGACGAUCAGUAGCCGGCCUGAGAGGGUGGACAGCCACAUUGGGACUGAGACACGGCCCAGACUCCUACGGGAGGCAGCAGUAGGGAAUCUUCCACAAUGGGCGCAAGCCUGAUGGAGCAACACCGCGUGAGUGAAGAAGGGUUUCGGCUCGUAAAGCUCUGUUGUUGGAGAAGAACGUGCGUGAGAGUAACUGUUUACGCAGUGACGGUAUCCAACCAGAAAGUCACGGCUAACUACGUGCCAGCAGCCGCGGUAAUACGUAGGUGGCAAGCGUUAUCCGGAUUUAUUGGGCGUAAAGCGAGCGCAGGCGGUUGCUUAGGUCUGAUGUGAAAGCCUUCGGCUUAACCGAAGAAGUGCAUCGGAAACCGGGCGACUUGAGUGCAGAAGAGGACAGUGGAACUCCAUGUGUAGCGGUGGAAUGCGUAGAUAUAUGGAAGAACACCAGUGGCGAAGGCGGCUGUCUGGUCUGCAACUGACGCUGAGGCUCGAAAGCAUGGGUAGCGAACAGGAUUAGAUACCCUGGUAGUCCAUGCCGUAAACGAUGAGUGCUAGGUGUUGGAGGGUUUCCGCCCUUCAGUGCCGGAGCUAACGCAUUGAGCACUCCGCCUGGGGAGUACGACCGCAAGGUUGAAACUCAAAGGAAUUGACGGGGGCCCGCACAAGCGGUGGAGCAUGUGGUUUAAUUCGAGGCUACGCGAAGAACCUUACCAGGUCUUGACAUCUUGCGCUAACCUUAGAGAUAAGGCGUUCCCUUCGGGACGCAAUGACAGGUGGUGCAUGGUCGUCGUCAGCUCGUGUCGUGAGAUGUUGGGUUAAGUCCCGCAACGAGCGCAACCCUUGUUACUAGUUGCCAGCAUUAAGUUGGGCACUCUAGUGAGACUGCCGGUGACAAACCGGAGGAAGGUGGGGACGACGUCAGAUCAUCAUGCCCCUUAUGACCUGGGCUACACACGUGCUACAAUGGACGGUACAACGAGUCGCAAGCUCGCGAGAGUAAGCUAAUCUCUUAAAGCCGUUCUCAGUUCGGACUGUAGGCUGCAACUCGCCUACACGAAGUCGGAAUCGCUAGUAAUCGCGGAUCAGCAUGCCGCGGUGAAUACGUUCCCGGGCCUUGCACACACCGCCCGUCA